CGGGGCUCCAUCUCAUGACCCUGAGAUCAUGACCUGAGCUGAAAUCAAGAGUCGGAUGCUCAACUGACUGAGCCCCCCAGGCACCCCUACAGCUGUCUCUUCUUAAUGUCCUUUUUUCUGCAGGCAGCUGUUCCCAGCCCCAGCCCCUCUGCUGCCUUGGGACAGAUCACCACUGCAAGAGAGGAAGCUGCUACUGUGAUGAAUUCUGCCAUGUGGCAUCAGACUGCUGCCCAGACCACCGUGCCCUCUGCGACCCGGGUAACUCGCACGCAAGCUCCUUCCCACCCCCGGCAGAGCUGGAUGCUGUGAGGAGGCAAGCCCCCUCCAUGCACCUCAGGCCAAGGCCAGGAUGUGAACUGGAUGGCUCCCCUGACAAUCCUGAGAUCCUUGCAUUUUGUCCAUUUCAGAUCACAAGUGCCCACACGUUCCUUCCAGCUUUGUUUCCCCACGGCUCCUGACCACCUGCUUUCCCCCUCUGAGCUACUUUCCCAGAUCCCCAAAGGGAGCGGUUAAGCUGCUGGUGGUGGGGGAUCACGGUGGGAAGUGGGGUGAUUGGGCUCCACCUGACUGCCCUUCCAUCCCUAGCAAUAUAGAGGCUUCUUGACCUGACCCAUGUAGGCUUUUGAGGGAACACAGGAGUCUACAGAGAGGGGCUAAGGAUGUUAGGCAGCAGGAGGGGCUAUGGGAGUCAGGAAUGAGGCCACGAGCUUUCACCUUGUGUUUCUCAGCUUCCCAGAAUACCAAGAUGGUGCUGCGGGUGGUGCUGAGGAUGGAGAAGCCCCCAGGCCCUGCAAGACGCCAUCUAGGCUGGAUGCAGAGCAUAGUCCAGCAGCUUCUCCAAAGCAGCCUCCCGGGGAUGCCCCUCUCCAUCUCCGUGAAGGGAAUCAAGAAGAGAGCCUGACAUCUCCGGUGAAGCUCCUCCCUGCCUGCCCCUCCCCCGCCCCCCGACGGGCCUGCUGGGGCCGCAGCACUGGACCCAGGGUGCCUGUCUCUUGGCUUCUAUCCUGCGUCCUUCAUUGUUGGCUCAAACAGAGGAAAACAGCAGUCUGCACUUGUUGUAAACACAUUUAAAUCAGCCAUACAGAUUAUAAAACAUAAAUCUGGCUCAUGGAAUUCAUUGUUUGUGGUGGUUACAAUGAAUAUAGCAAACAUUUCUUGAAAGCGG
RNAcentral lists this long non-coding RNA (1165 nucleotides) under Ursus maritimus (polar bear). Its description in RNAcentral is "lncRNA (ENSUMAG00000003341.1)". Lineage: Eukaryota; Metazoa; Chordata; Mammalia; Carnivora; Ursidae. The record is from RNAcentral.